AAUAGAUACCCAGGUAGUCCACGCCGUAAACGAUGAGUGCUAAGUGUUAGAGGGUUUCCGCCCUUUAGUGCUGCAGCUAACGCAUUAAGCACUCCGCCUGGGGAGUACGGCCGCAAGGCUGAAACUCAAAGGAAUUGACGGGGGCCCGCACAAGCGGUGGAGCAUGUGGUUUAAUUCGAAGCAACGCGAAGAACCUUACCAGGUCUUGACAUCCUCUGCCAACCCUAGAGAUAGGGCGUUCCCCUUCGGGGGACAGAGUGACAGGUGGUGCAUGGUUGUCGUCAGCUCGUGUCGUGAGAUGUUGGGUUAAGUCCCGCAACGAGCGCAACCCUUGAUCUUAGUUGCCAGCAUUCAGUUGGGCACUCUAAGGUGACUGCCGGUGACAAACCGGAGGAAGGUGGGGAUGACGUCAAAUCAUCAUGCCCCUUAUGACCUGGGCUACACACGUGCUACAAUGGAUGGUACAAAGAGCAGCGAACCCGCGAGGGUAAGCCAAUCUCAUAAAGCCAUUCUCAGUUCGGAUUGU
This 526-nucleotide ribosomal RNA is filed under the name uncultured bacterium. RNAcentral's name for it is "bacterial SSU rRNA". It matches the Rfam family "Bacterial small subunit ribosomal RNA", at positions 777 to 1301 of the family's 1533-position model. The record is from RNAcentral.